AACGAACGCUGGCGGCAUGCCUAACACAUGCAAGUCGAACGAGACCUUCGGGUCUAGUGGCGCACGGGUGCGUAACGCGUGGGAACCUGCCCUUAAGUUCGGAAUAACUCCCCGAAAGGGGUGCUAAUACCGGAUAAUGUCUUCGGACCAAAGAUUUAUCGCCUUUGGAUGGGCCCGCGUUGGAUUAGCUAGUUGGUAGGGUAAAAGCCUACCAAGGCGACGAUCCAUAGCUGGUCUGAGAGGAUGAUCAGCCACACUGGGACUGAGACACGGCCCAGACUCCUACGGGAGGCAGCAGUGGGGAAUAUUGAACAAUGGGCGAAAGCCUGAUCCAGCAAUGCCGCGGGAGUGAUGAAGGCCUUAGGGUUGUAAAGCUCUUUUACCCGGGAUGAUAAUGACAGUACCGGGAGAAUAAGCUCCGGCUAACUCCGU
Molecule: ribosomal RNA, 432 nt
Filed under: uncultured bacterium
Lineage: Bacteria
Description: partial 16S ribosomal RNA
Rfam family: Bacterial small subunit ribosomal RNA
Source: RNAcentral